Molecule: long non-coding RNA, 637 nt
Organism: Mauremys mutica (yellowpond turtle)
Lineage: Eukaryota; Metazoa; Chordata; Testudines; Geoemydidae
Exons: 3
Source: RefSeq, a predicted model, not a curated record
GGCUGCCCAGAGCUCACAUCCAUCCUGCAACUUCUGAUGCACCGCAAGCUGCAAACAAGUUCUGGCACAUCAGGUGGCUCGGGGGUGGAGGAGCCUGCUUCUUGAUUGCACCAGGCAUUAAGGAGGCGAGGAGUGGGUCUUGUUUCCUGGGUGCACCUAGAAGGCCAGGAAGGCCCUGGGACGUUAGGCAGCAAAGGGGAUAACUCAGUUCCGAAUCAGGCCCAUAAUUCCAUGUGGCUAACCAUGGAGGGAAAAUAACAUGGAUAUCUUCCCUAUGCUGUGAACUUUCAAGACCAAGGUGGAGGCUGCAGAAGAUGCUUUUGUCCAUGCUGCCCAUGAUACUCUGCAGAGAGGUGACUGUGGUUUCCAGACCUGGCGAUACAGAACCUUCCAUGAAUGUUACAUUCACUGUAAAAUGGAAACGAGAAGCCACCUGAGGUAAAGGCUCAAAAAGUCACCGCUCAGAGCACAUUUGGGCUACAGACCUAAGAAAGUGGCAACUCCCAGCUGGUUUCCUGUGGGACACAGAUUCCCAAACUACUCUGUGGGCCUGACGGUUUGCCGAGAGCGGGCUAGGAACACCUGCUGGCUCUCCUUGUUUAAAGAGAAAGAUGGAAGGGGGGUGCGGGUUGAAAUG